RNAcentral lists this ribosomal RNA (382 nucleotides) under uncultured eukaryote. RNAcentral describes it as "partial 18S ribosomal RNA". It matches the Rfam family "Eukaryotic small subunit ribosomal RNA", at positions 592 to 976 of the family's 1831-position model. The record is from RNAcentral.
UGUAAGCGUAUACCAAAGUUGUUGCAGUUAAAACGCUCGUAGUCGGAAUUUGGCAGUUCCGGAUGUGUGCACGUCGUGUGCGCACUUCGCGGGGAUUGCUUUUGUGGUCUUGCGUAGGAUGAGGCACUUUUAUUAGUGAACGUCCUCACGCAACCACUUUUUACUGUGAGAAAAUCAGAGUGCUCAAAGCAGGCAUUUGCCGUGAAUGUAUUAGCAUGGAAUAAUAGAAUAGGACUUGGUUCUAUUUUGUUGGUUUGUUGGGACUGAGUAAUGAUUAAGAGGGACAGUUGGGGGCAUUUGUAUUUCGGUGCUAGAGGUGAAAUUCUUAGAUUACCGAAAGACAAACUGCUGCGAAAGCGUCUGCCAAGGAUGUUUUAAUUGA